UGAUCAAAUACGUUAGAUAAUUCAUUUGAAAAUAUGUAAAUUAAAAUCACCAAUUGUUGCAUAUUACAAAAUACUGUGUAUCCAUGAUUAUAAUUAAAGAACAAAAUUCAUUAUGUUGGAUAUUAUACAAAUAAUUCCUUAUAACAUUGACUGAUCUCAUUAAUAAAGCAGAAAAAUACAUAUUCCAUGUAUUUCAUAGACAUUUCUGGACAUAUGAUUAAAUUAUCACCAGUGGCAGAUAAGUGUCAGGAUCCCGCAACGUAUGUCGGUCGAAACGUCAAUAUGGCACCAGGAGAAGUUUUACGUGUUUCUCCAACACGUGAAAUGUCGCCGUCAGGAAAUGACGGAAAACUUAUUAUAUUGUUUGAAAUAUUAACUUCGGAAUGUGGCACGUAAGUACCGCAGGGAUCCAGAAUAGGAGAAUUGAUUCGGAAACACACAGUAACUAAUAUAUAUUUAUUUAAAAUAAA
This 470-nucleotide long non-coding RNA is filed under the name Androctonus crassicauda. Lineage: Eukaryota; Metazoa; Arthropoda; Arachnida; Scorpiones; Buthidae. The record is from RNAcentral.